Molecule: ribosomal RNA, 386 nt
Filed under: uncultured bacterium
Lineage: Bacteria
Description: bacterial SSU rRNA
Rfam family: Bacterial small subunit ribosomal RNA
Source: RNAcentral
GACGAACGCUGGCGGCGUGCUUAACACAUGCAAGUCGAGCGGUAAGGCCCUUUUGGGGGUACACGAGCGGCGAACGGGUGAGUAACACGUGGGUGACCUGCCCUCAGCUCUGGGAUAAGCCUGGGAAACUGGGUCUAAUACUGGAUAUGACCUUUCCUCGCAUGGGGUUGGGUGGAAAGUUUUUCGGCUGGGGAUGGGCCCGCGGCCUAUCAGCUUGUUGGUGGGGUGAUGGCCUACCAAGGCGACGACGGGUAGCCGGCCUGAGAGGGCGACCGGCCACACUGGGACUGAGACACGGCCCAGACUCCUACGGGAGGCAGCAGUGGGGAAUAUUGCGCAAUGGGCGGGAAGCCUGACGCAGCGACGCCGCGUGGGGGAUGACGGCC